RNAcentral lists this ribosomal RNA (451 nucleotides) under uncultured Arcobacter sp. RNAcentral describes it as "bacterial SSU rRNA". It matches the Rfam family "Bacterial small subunit ribosomal RNA", at positions 933 to 1382 of the family's 1533-position model. The record is from RNAcentral. Lineage: Bacteria; Pseudomonadati; Campylobacterota; Epsilonproteobacteria; Campylobacterales; Arcobacteraceae.
UGGAGCAUGUGGUUUAAUUCGACGAUACGCGAAGAACCUUACCUGGCCUUGACAUACUAAAAAGCUUUAAGAGAUUAGAGUGUGCUAGCUUGCUAGAAUUUAGAUACAGGUGCUGCACGGCUGUCGUCAGCUCGUGUCGUGAGAUGUUGGGUUAAGUCCCGCAACGAGCGCAACCUCGUGUUUAGUUGCUAACAGUUCGGCUGAGAACUCUAAACAGACUGCCUACGCAAGUAGGAGGAAGGUGAGGACGACGUCAAGUCAUCAUGGCCCUUACGGCCAGGGCUACACACGUGCUACAAUGGGGUAUACAAAGAGCAGCGAUACGGUGACGUGGAGCAAAUCUAGAAAAUGCCUCUCAGUUCGGAUUGUAGUCUGCAACUCGACUACAUGAAGUUGGAAUCGCUAGUAAUCGUAGAUCAGCAAUGCUACGGUGAAUACGUUCCCGGGUCUU